RNAcentral lists this ribosomal RNA (442 nucleotides) under uncultured bacterium. Its description in RNAcentral is "partial 16S ribosomal RNA". It matches the Rfam family "Bacterial small subunit ribosomal RNA", at positions 338 to 795 of the family's 1533-position model. The record is from RNAcentral.
CCUACGGGUGGCAGCAGUAGGGACUCUUUCACAAUGGGCGAAAGCCUGAUGGAGCACCGCCGCGUGCAGGAUGAAGGCCUUCGGGUUGUACACUGCUUUUAUAAGCGAGAAAUAUGAUGGUAACUUAUGAAUAAGGAUCGGCUAACUACGUGCCAGCAGCCGCGGUCAUACGUAGGAUCCGAGCAUUAUCCGGAGUGACUGGGUGUAAAGAGUUGCGUAGGUGGCAUAAUAAGUAGCUAGUGAAAUCUGGUGGCUCAACCAUUCAGACUAUUAGCUAAACUGUUAAGCUCGAGACCGUUAGGGGUAACUGGAAUUUCUAGUGUAGGAGUGAAAUCCGUAGAUAUUAGAAGGAACACCAAUAGCGUAGGCAGGUUGCUGGGACGGUUCUGACACUAAGGCACGAAAGCGUAGGGAGCAAACGGGAUUAGAUACCCCAGUAGUC